Dama dama (fallow deer) is the source of this 1388-nucleotide long non-coding RNA. RefSeq lists it as uncharacterized. Lineage: Eukaryota; Metazoa; Chordata; Mammalia; Artiodactyla; Cervidae. The transcript has 3 exons. The record is from RefSeq and is a predicted model, not a curated record.
GCCUCCGGGAGCCCAGCAGGUUUCGGAUUUCCGAAGGGUGGCGCAGGCCUGGGAAACAGACCCGGCCGCCCACAAAGGUCCUGACUCUGAAUGGUUGAAAAACCAAUCUCCACUGAAGGAAGAGAAGAUAGAAUAAAAGAGUAUCAGCGUCCACCUGGUACCAUAAGGAUAAUGUUUGUUUUGGUUGUGAAUAAGGCAGAGCUGCCUUGAUGGCUCAGUGGUAAAGACUUCACCUUGCAAUGCAGGAGACAUGGGUUCGAUCCCUGAUCUGGGAAGAUCCUCCAUGCCGAAGGGCAACUAAGCCCAUGUGCUGCAACUAUUGAGCUCUAGAGCUGGGGAACUGCAACUACUGAAGCCUGUGUGCCCUAGAGAAGCCUCUGCACCACAUCAAGAGAAGCCACUGCAUUGAGAAGCCUGUGUACCACAACUAGAGAGUAGCCCUUACCUGCUGCAACUAGAGAAAAGCCCACGCAGCAACAAAAACCCAGUACAGCCAAAAGUUAAAAAAAUAAAUAAAUAAGGAUGAGACAGCAGGGGCCCAAGUGGGCGGUACAAGCUGGAGGUUCUCAUGAAAAAAAGGGAGGACAGUGUCGCCUCCCUCCAUGAACACUGACACCCCUUCCACGUGCCAAAAGAACCACUCCCGCCACCACCACCCACCACCAUGGGGUCAAGGAACACGGCCUGCUGAGGCCAACAGACCACAGACCCAACAGAGCCACAUCCUAAGCCCUCCCCUCCGUACAGAAGCAUAGUCGGCUGCCUGAUGAGCCACAGCUUGGAGCUCUGCCAAGGCCAGGGCCGGAGUUUGAGAGACAGCUACCUCGGAUAACACCUGCUUCAUAGGCGAGGAAUGCGCUCAGCUGGGCCUGCCAGCCGUCACCGACCAACCACUCUGUGAACCCUUCCUUCUCCCUGAGACCAAGGUGGGAGGCCUGACUGAGGCUGGCCAGAGGCCCUGCUAGAAACCAGCCUUGGACCUCUCCCCACCCAGGUUUAGACAGGGGUGUCCUUCGUAAUACAAGGCAGGGCAUGGGCGCCCCGGCCUAGGGAGAACCCUUGCCAGCUUCGCCAUCCUCUCCCAACCCCCCUAGCCUGCACUCGAGAGGGAGGUGGGGCUGGGGAAGGAAGUGUGGUUACAGAGAAGAGGAACUCAACCGCUUACACGGGCCGAGGCUGGGGCAUUGUCUUGCUUUGAAAACCCCCAGAUUUUAUUUUGCUAAAGCUUGCAAUUUCUUCUGUGUGUGAAUGGCACUUGGAAAUCUGUUUGUAAUGGAUCUUGAUUGUAUCCAGCUGUCACCAACUGUUCCCCUGCCGCCUAAAAGACAGCUGGCCACGUGCCACAUAGUCCAGGCUCUCACUUCAAAUAGAGGAGCUAAUGCUCUGGU